AUUGAACGCUAGCGGCAGGCCUCAAACAUGCAAGUCGAGCGAGCGGCGGCCGGGUGAGUAAUGUAUGGGGACUGCCCGAAAGAGGGGGAUAACUACUGGAAACGGUAGCUAAUAACGAAUACUAUCGGAUAACCCAUAUGGGAUUAGCGAGUAGGUGGGGUAAUGGCUCACCUAGGCGACGAUCCCUAGCUGGCCUGAGAGGAUGUUCAGCCACACUGGGACUGAGACACGGCCCAGACGCCUACGGAGGCAGCAGUGGGGAAUAUUGCACAAUGGGCGCAAGCCUGAUGCAGCCAUGUCGCGUGUGUGAAGAAGGCCCUAGGGUUGUAAAGUACUUUCAGUCGGGAGGCGUUACCGACAGAAGAAGCACCGGCUAACUCCGUGCCAGCAGCCGCGGUAAUUC
Molecule: ribosomal RNA, 403 nt
Filed under: uncultured bacterium
Lineage: Bacteria
Description: partial 16S ribosomal RNA
Rfam family: Bacterial small subunit ribosomal RNA
Source: RNAcentral